CGUAAAGACUAGUGUUAGUCAUCUUUUAUUAGGGUUUUAAAGGGUACCUAGACGGUAAAUUUAAACUCUAAAAUGAGUACUUUUUUACUAGAGUUUUUAUAAGAGAAGGAAGAAUUUCUGGAGUAGUGAUAAAAUACUCUUAUACCAGAAGGACUGGUAACAGCGAAGGCAUCCUUCUAUGUAGAAACUGACGUUGAGGGACGAAGGCUUGGGUAGCAAUAAGGAUU
This 227-nucleotide ribosomal RNA is filed under the name uncultured bacterium. RNAcentral describes it as "partial 16S ribosomal RNA". The stretch from base 33 to 227 matches the Rfam family "Bacterial small subunit ribosomal RNA", at positions 556 to 779 of the family's 1533-position model. The record is from RNAcentral.